Molecule: non-coding RNA, 255 nt
Organism: Cinara cedri
Lineage: Eukaryota; Metazoa; Arthropoda; Insecta; Hemiptera; Aphididae
Source: the annotation of a GenBank genome assembly
AAAGAACACCAUACUGACACUAUAUGGGGUUCAUAGAUAAUUUCAGAAUUAUUAUCAAUCUUCGCAGACGCAUACACUUAUUUACUUAUACUUGUCAAUUUCUUUUUGUUCGCAUCGUUAAGUAUAGUAGCGAAUCGCACCAUUACUUCGAACUUUGAACCACUCAAAACUCCAGUUAUUAUCGCCUGCGAAUAUAUGUGCAAUACACGUACCUAAUGGAAAUCCCAGGGCCUCCAACAACAACCGAACUGUCUU